RNAcentral lists this ribosomal RNA (458 nucleotides) under uncultured bacterium. Its description in RNAcentral is "bacterial SSU rRNA". It matches the Rfam family "Bacterial small subunit ribosomal RNA", at positions 29 to 507 of the family's 1533-position model. The record is from RNAcentral.
AACGAACGCUGGCGGCAGGCCUAACACAUGCAAGUCGAGCGAGACCUUCGGGUCUAGCGGCGGACGGGUGAGUAACGCGUGGGAACGUGCCCUUUGGUACGGAAUAGCCCCGGGAAACUGGGAGUAAUACCGUAUAAGCUCUUCGGAGGAAAAGAUUUAUCGCCAAAGGAUCGGCCCGCGUUGGAUUAGGUAGUUGGUGGGGUAAUGGCCUACCAAGCCGACGAUCUGUAGCUGGUCUGAGAGGACGACCAGCCACACUGGGACUGAGACACGGCCCAGACUCCUACGGGAGGCAGCAGUGGGGAAUUUUGGACAAUGGGCGCAAGCCUGAUCCAGCCAUGCCGCGUGCGGGAAGAAGGCCUUCGGGUUGUAAACCGCUUUUGUCAGGGAAGAAAUCCUUUGGGCUAAUACCCCGGGGGAUGACGGUACCUGAAGAAUAAGCACCGGCUAACUACGUG